Molecule: transfer RNA, 66 nt
Filed under: Klebsiella pneumoniae
Lineage: Bacteria; Pseudomonadati; Pseudomonadota; Gammaproteobacteria; Enterobacterales; Enterobacteriaceae
Also listed under: 8 other names
Description: tRNA-Val
Rfam family: tRNA
About the family: Transfer RNA (tRNA) molecules are approximately 80 nucleotides in length. Their secondary structure includes four short double-helical elements and three loops (D, anti-codon, and T loops). Further hydrogen bonds mediate the characteristic L-shaped molecular structure. tRNAs have two regions of fundamental functional importance: the anti-codon, which is responsible for specific mRNA codon recognition, and the 3' end, to which the tRNAs corresponding amino acid is attached (by aminoacyl-tRNA synthetases). tRNAs cope with the degeneracy of the genetic code in two manners: having more than one tRNA (with a specific anti-codon) for a particular amino acid; and 'wobble' base-pairing, i.e. permitting non-standard base-pairing at the 3rd anti-codon position.
Source: RNAcentral
GCGUUCGUAGCUCAGUUGGUUAGAGCACCACCUUGACAUGGUGGGGGUCGUUGGUUCGAGUCCAAU